UUUUUUUUUGGUUACUUUUUUGUUGUCUUUUCACGGUUCCCUUCCUUUUUUGUUUUUGGGUUAUAGUGAAUUUUUGGGCUUUAGUGUUUUUUGGGCUUUUAGUGUUUUUUUACUAAAACAGUUUGUUUUUCUAAAUAACAGGCCUAGGCCCAAUUAGUAACAGAUACAGUGUUUAACAUUACUGUAACUUUUUCAACGGUUGAUAUUCUCUUUUAAAAACGGUUGUAAAUCAUUUUAAAAAUGGUUGUAAAUCUUUUCAUAAUAACAGUUACUACAGCUUUUUCAACACUUUUAAAACGCUUUUAAAACAGCUUAUAAAUCGUUUGUAAAUCUCUUUUAAAAACGGUUGUAAAUCAUUUUAAAAACGAUGAUUGAACACUAUCGGGUUU
Molecule: small RNA, 389 nt
Filed under: Arabidopsis thaliana (thale cress)
Lineage: Eukaryota; Viridiplantae; Streptophyta; Magnoliopsida; Brassicales; Brassicaceae
Description: ATSL078790
Source: RNAcentral